AAAGUUCUCCAAAACACA
RNAcentral lists this transfer RNA (18 nucleotides) under Allobates ornatus. Its description in RNAcentral is "partial tRNA-Phe". The record is from RNAcentral. Lineage: Eukaryota; Metazoa; Chordata; Amphibia; Anura; Aromobatidae.